GAUGAACGCUAGCGGCAGGCUUAAUACAUGCAAGUCGUGGGGCAGCGCAGUGUAGCAAUACAUGGGCGGCGACCGGCAAACGGGUGCGGAACACGUACACAACCUUCCUACAAGUGGGGAAUAGCCCAGAGAAAUUUGGAUUAAUACCCCGUAACAUAUAAAGAUGGCAUCAUUUUUAUAUUAUAGCUACGGCGCUUGUUGAUGGGUGUGCGGCUGAUUAGGUAGUUGGCGGGGUAAUGGCCCACCAAGCCUGCGAUCAGUAGCUGAUGUGAGAGCAUGAUCAGCCACACGGGCACUGAGACACGGGCCCGACUCCUACGGGAGGCAGCAGUAAGGAAUAUUGGACAAUGGGCGCAAGCCUGAUCCAGCCAUGCCGCGUGAAGGAUUAAGGUCCUCUGGAUUGUAAACUUCUUUUAUAAGGGACGAAAAAAGGGAAUUCUUUCUCACUGACGGUA
RNAcentral lists this ribosomal RNA (455 nucleotides) under uncultured bacterium. RNAcentral's name for it is "bacterial SSU rRNA". It matches the Rfam family "Bacterial small subunit ribosomal RNA", at positions 28 to 477 of the family's 1533-position model. The record is from RNAcentral.